GGGUCCCCCUCCUCCGGGAUCCGGGACACAGCGUCGCGCGCUCCCCCCAGGGUGCCAUGGCCUCCCGGCUCCUGCACCGGCUGCGGCACGCCUUGGCCGGCGACGGCCCCGGGGAGGCGGCGGCCAGUCCAGAGGCCGAGCAGUUUCCAGAGAGCUCAGAGCUGGAGGACGACGACGCCGAGGGCCUGUCCUCCCGACUCAGCGGCACCCUCAGCUUCACCAGCGCCGAGGACGACGAGGACGACGAGGACGAGGACGACGAGGAGGCUGGCCCUGACCCGCUGCCCCUCGGGGACGGGACGUCAGGAGAAGACGCAGAACGGAGCCCCCCACCUGAUGGGCAGCGGGGCAGUCAGCUCCUGGCACGGCAGCUGCAGGAUUUCUGGAAGAAGUCCCGGAACACCUUGGCACCCCAGCGGCUGCUCUUCGAAGUGACCAGCGCUAACGUUGUCAAGGACCCGCCCUCCAACUCUACACCCUCGCCGUGAUAGGCCCAGGGCCGCCAGAUUGCCAGCCAGCCCAGAUCUCUCGCCGUUACUCGGACUUUGAGCGGCUGCACCGAAACCUGCAGCGGCAAUUCCGGGGCCCAAUGGCUGCCAUCUCCUUCCCCCGUAAGCGGCUGCGCCGGAAUUUUACUGCAGAGACCAUUGCCCGCCGUAGCCGGGCCUUUGAGCAGUUUUUGGGUCACCUGCAGGCAGUGCCUGAGCUGCGCCAUGCCCCGGACCUGCAGGACUUCUUCGUGCUGCCGGAGCUGCGGCAGGCACAGAGCCUCACCUGUACUGGCCUCUAUCGUGAGGCUCUGGCACUCUGGGCCAAUGCCUGGCAGCUGCAAGCCCAGCUGGGCACCCCCUCUGGCCCAGACCGCCCCCUGCUGACCCUGGCUGGGCUGGCCGUGUGCCACCAGGAGCUGGAAGACCCUGGGGAGGCCCGGGCAUGCUGUGAGAAGGCCCUGCAGCUGCUUGGGGACAAGAGCCUCCACCCUUUGCUGGCACCCUUUCUGGAGGCCCAUGUCCGGCUCUCCUGGCGCCUGGGCCUGGACAAACGUCAAUCAGAGGCUCGGCUCCAAGCCCUGCAGGAGGCAGGCCUUACCCCGACACCACCCCCCAGUCUCAAAGAAUUGCUCAUCAAGGAGGUGCUGGACUAACCCUUGCCUAGAUUUAAGGCCACUGUGAGGAGAGGGGCUGCCCCAGAAUGCAGGGGAAGGACCUGAUGAGGACAGAAUAGCUGGGAGGCUGCAGAGGGUGCUGGGAGCCCCUAGAAGUUCCAAAAGAGAAUAUGAAGCAGAUCAAGGAAACUUCUGUUGAGCUGGGCUCAGGAUGAGCUUUGGCUGGGGUUGCCUUUGUGUAGUACAGGGAAGUCUGACACAGCCUCUCCAGCUUAUAAACAGCCGGGGGGCUGUGGCACAGGUUGGGGCAAUGUUCCCUUGUUGGUGGGCCCCCAAGCUGGCAAGGCCUCUUGGCUGAAGGCCAGGGACUCUGCCCUGGAGUCCUGGAGUUAAGGGAUGAAGGCAAGGCUGCAGGUCUGGCCCAGGGGAAUUAAAAGCCAGCCACUCCAGUGGUAUCAGUCUCUUUAUUGGAUGUGAGGGCCAAAAGGGACUGUAACUCCUGUCUCAGGAAUGGGGAUAGAUGGGAGGUUCUUGAAGCCCCAGGCGAAGCUGGUACCUCUGGCUACAGCUUGCUCUCUGAGACCCGGGGCUUCACUCGGAUCACGCCCUCCUGGGCACAGGUCACAGCUAGGACUCCAUCCUGACGCCACAGCCGCCCAUGGACUAGCCCCCGAGAGCCACCUGUGGGUGAGGUGAAGGGUGAUGAUGGCCUGCUUCAGAACAGCCAAAUACACUUUUUUUUUUUUCCUGAAACAGAGUCUCACUAUGUUGCCCAGGCUGGUCUCAAGCUCCUGGGUUCAAGGGAUCCUCCCGCCUCAGCCUCCUGAGCAUCUGGGAUUACAGGUGCACAUCACCACGCCCAACCUCCAAGUGGACUUCUUGCAAAGGGUCUGGCCCAGGGCAGGGCUGCCCCACACAAGGGUGCACUGAGUGUCGUGGCUGCUCCAAAUGCCCCUUCAUGAGCUUAUUAUGGACCGUCAUUGAGGGGUAACUCCUCCCACAGGAACUCCACUUGACAGUUUAAAAGCACUUUCACACCUCUGCUCGCUUCCUCAAAAAGAUCACGGAGGAGCUCUGAGAACAGUUUCCUUCAACAGCUCGGCCAAGCAGAACUGCUGUACCUCUGGCCACUUGUGUUAGGAAAACUAUUGGCUCCCUGUAUAAUAAAUCAAGCCAGGUCCUCCAAGUGGUAAUUCAUGAAAAAUAUCCCCACUACCACCACCAAGGGGAAGAAGGGACUCAGCAGAGAGGACUUGAGGCCAUGAGGUCUGGCCUCUUCCCUCCCCACCUGGAGACUCCUCCCUUGCUGGCUUUGGGCCCAAGUUUGAUGUUUGUGAGGAUGAUUGCUGGUUUCCCUUACACAUAGCAGAGCUCACUCAGUUCUCACAGUGGCCAAAUGAAGCAGUUAUGUGUUGUCCAGUUUUCCAGACCAGGACUGAAAUCCAUAGAGGGUCAGGAAUUUGGCCCCAUGAUGAGGCCAAAUCUGAACCCAUGUCCUCACUUCAAGGUUAUCAAUCUUGGAUUGUGAUGCUGUUGGUACUUGAGAAUACCCCUUAUCUGAGUAUAAAGAGUCCUUAAGUUUUGUCCUUCGUUUAUCAAGCAAAGCUUUUCUUCAUUUGAAAUGUACUCCCUUGGAAAGGAGGUCAGGGUUCUGAAGCUAGACAUUGAUGAAUGAGUCUUGUUUCUCUCCCCUGCAAGGAAGGUCCAAGCAGGCCCUUAGGGACCACUGAAUGCCCCGAUCCCAAUCAGGUUAAUCAGAAUCACUUAGAGAACUUAAAAAUACAGUUUCUUGGACCUUAUCUAAGACCUACUGAGUCAGAAUCUUGAGGGUGGAAUCAGAAUCUAUUUUGAAAAGACAUCCCCAAAUGGCAGUCUGAUGGGCUGUGGGUUUGGAUACCACUGCUGUAAUGUAACCCUCUUUGUUUACAUGAGGAAACUGAGGCUCAGAUGGAAGAUAUGAUUUGCCUAUUAUAAUACAAAGAAUCUGAACUGG
RNAcentral lists this small RNA (3098 nucleotides) under Pongo abelii (Sumatran orangutan). RNAcentral's name for it is "processed transcript". The record is from RNAcentral. Lineage: Eukaryota; Metazoa; Chordata; Mammalia; Primates; Hominidae.